RNAcentral lists this long non-coding RNA (230 nucleotides) under Cucumis sativus (cucumber). RNAcentral's name for it is "long non-coding RNA (CSAT_LNC001537)". Lineage: Eukaryota; Viridiplantae; Streptophyta; Magnoliopsida; Cucurbitales; Cucurbitaceae. The record is from RNAcentral.
GGCAAGAAACUUCGAGACCAUUCAGAAUCGGACCACCGAGUAGCUAGACGUAAACUUUCGAGGCCUCCGACCCCGUUCUAAGUUCGGUCGUUCCUUUCUAGGCCAUUGUGCCUCUCUUUCAGCGUUUUUUGACGGAACCAAGAAACCAAGUCUAGGGCAUCAUCGUUCGGCUUUUGUGGGCAAGAAACAUCGAGGCCACUCAGAAUCGGACCACCUAGUAGCUAGACGUG